Molecule: long non-coding RNA, 6383 nt
Filed under: Fragaria vesca (wild strawberry)
Lineage: Eukaryota; Viridiplantae; Streptophyta; Magnoliopsida; Rosales; Rosaceae
Description: long non-coding RNA (FVES_LNC001624)
Source: RNAcentral
CCCUUAAUUCAUUUGGACAUUGGAAGAAUGUUUCUGGUAUGUUUUCUAAAGAGAAAUUACGGUUUAGUAACAAGAUCUGGAGUUUUGGACAUACCAGAUUUUUGGGAAGCUUGCUAAUAUAAUUCCUCAUUAGUGAGAUUGCAAGGUAGCCUUUAUGUAAUUUACGUGGCAAAUCCUCUAAACCACAGCCGGCUUUCACAAAAAACUCAUCUUCAGAUUGCACAAUUUGAAUGGCUGCAUCCCGGACAACAUCAUGCAUCCUUACACAUCUAUCUUCUUCACUAUCCAAAAGCAAGCAAGAAUAUUUAAGAUGCUUGAUAACGGAAUCAGCUUGCUCUCUUGCCUCCAUGAGUGUUUCGGCAUCUCGAAACAAUCUUGUCCUGAUCCCAUACCUGAACAAGUCUUCUAUAGGGAUGUCAUAGUCUUCUGGGAAUAAGCAACAGAGCAAGAAGUAUGACCUGUAGUCCUCAUCUUCCAAGUAAUCAUAGCUUAAUUUUAUACAUUUAGAUGCUUCUCCCUUAUCAUCAGGGUUGGCAGUUUGCGACUUCUCUAGUCGCUGAGCUGCUCUCCUCCAAUCCACCAAGUCUUUGUCUCCGAGUGCCCUUGCAACUGUUAUCAAUGCAAUCGGUAAGCCCCUACAUUCUCCGGCUACCUUCUUUGCCACACCCUCGAAAGUGGGGGAUUCAAAAUACCUUCUUGCUUUUCUCACAAACAAGACCCAAGAAUCUUGUUCUGAGAGAACGUUGAGGAUGAUCUUUCUUUGGCACUCCAUGGCAUGACAAACAUUCCUUAUCCUUGUGGUGAGUAGGAUUUUGGAAUUGCAAUUUUGAAGUUCCUUGUAGCUUGGAAUUCCUAUUCUUGAUAAUUCUGUUCUCUCCCAAAUGUCGUCCAGGAUUAUAAGAAUCCUUUGUCUUCUCCUUAUCUCCUUACUCAAUCUAGCUGCUCUUCCAAUUUCUGUAUCCUCCUCAAAUUUGAAGCUCAAUAGUUCUGACAAUGUGCCUUGAAUUUUUGCCAAGUCAGGCGUUUGGGAUAGGACACCCAUAAUCACAUGAUCAAAAAUUCCACUUUUCCGGGCAUGUGCGCCAACAUGUUCCACCAAGGUUGUCUUGCCCACACCUCCCAUGCCGUAGACACCAACAGCAGUGACCUCGUCAUCUUUAAGGGCCUUCAUAACCUCAUCCAUGGCUAUUCUUGUUGCUUCAAAUGCUUGGAAAUCUCUAGUGGACUCAAUUGCAUCAGGUACAAUUUUACUGCUGAGAAGUUUCACAAUGGCUUCGGUAAGUGCUCUCUCAGUUCUACAAGGAUGAAUUACGGAUUAGAAUUUAGAAAUAAUCUUUGGGUAAAAUAUAUAUCUGAAAUUAAAGGGGCAAUGCUUACUUAUGAUCAGUUGUAUUCCACCCAGAGAUAUUGGCUACUUUGUUCAAGGCAGCUUUCCACUCCUUCACCUUUUCCAUUCUGUGCUGCCCAGAGGUUUCAUGCUUAUAGAAAGCUUCUUUGAAACUUCCCUUCUUCUGAUAUCGAACAUCAGUAGGAUCAACAUGAUAAAAAAGUGGCAAAAUUCUGUUGUCUUCCAUGGACAGACAAAUCUCUCUAAGUUCCUCCAAACACCAAGCAGAAGAAGCGUAAUUUUGGGAGAGAACAACAAUUGCAUACCUUGACCCUUUAAUUGCUGCUAUGAGAGUGGGAGAAAUGGAAUCUCCGACUACAAGAUCUGGAUCAUCCAUGAAUGCUUUAAUGCCUCCCCGAUUGAGUCCAUCGUAUAUGUCGACUGUGAUCCCCUUGCGAGUGUCAGAACCCCUGAAACUCAAAAAAACAUCAUACUUCCAUUCAACAGGUGAUGAUGAAGAAGGAAGAGAUGCAGAAGCAUCCAUGUCCACCAAUACUUGAUUAUCCUGGGAAUUUUCGACCAUGUAACUGAACCGACGCUUCACUUGAGUCCAUAUCCACUUAAUAAUGGCUAUGCAACCGAUCCUCGCCUCCGCCAUGGCUUCGAAUUCUGGAAAACAGUAUGAAAUUAAGAACCUUCCUUGAGACAGCAACAAGGGGAAAGAACAAGGUCUCUCAGAGUACAGGCAGGGAAAAGGAAACCGCAAAAGCCAUAUGAAAAACCAAUGAAACGGAUGAACUGAAGACAAAAUGGAAUCUGAAGUAUGAACUGAACAUCAUGAAGUCAGUCUGAUAGAGUUUAGACGUCUAACUAGUGAGCUGUGGUGGUUAUUUGACAACCAGAGUGCUUGGCAAUUGGCAUGGGCCCUUUUACUUCUCAAGUCCGACCCGGAUGGCGCAAUUCUUAACCCGACCCGGACCCAAGAAACAGGGCAAAACAGAGAAGCGCCACUACCGCAGCUGAGACAGAAACAGAGAAUGGCCACCACAGCUAUCAACUUGGGCCUCGUAAAGCCUUCACCUUUCUCUGUUCCCAAGUCACAAUCCCCUUCAAAGCUCAGGGUUUUCACUCUCCGGUGCUCCUCCGCCACCGCCAAUGCCGUCUCAGGUAUACCCACUUUUGGUACUCUGCUUUUAUUGGUCUAUCUAGCACUCGUAAAGAUUCAAUUUUUAUAUGAUGGUGGUUUCCAAUUUACUGUGAGGUUAAUUUAUUGGUGAUUAGAGUGACGAGAAAACCGAUUGGCUGCCAUGCAAAAUUGAUGUUGGUUUUGUUUUUUUUGGGCUCAGUGCCUUCUUAUUUAUUCAGCUGCAGUCUUAUAUUCUCAUGUAUAUAUCCUGCAGUGUUAUAUUUACAAUAAGACUUACAGAUGUCUGAAGAAGAAGAAACUGUUUGUAACAAUUUUGAGAAUAGUACUUUAACAUCUUUCUCGCGUCACAGUCUGUAGCCAUACACUUGCAAAGUUACUUAUCCAUUGUAUCGUAAUUGAGUUUGUUUCAAUCAAUAUGGUUCAUACAUUUUUGUGUUAUGGAGUUCAGUUUUUGAUUAAUCUACAUCACAAAAAGAUCACAUAAGAUUUGGCAUCUUUAUUUUGAUCAUCUUCAUGUAAAUGGAAUUGUUUUUCUUUCAAGGAUGAAUUUGAAAAGCAGUCUUUCAUAGUUUCCAUAGAAAGACUCAUUGUAUUCAUCUUCAUCCUUCAUAGCAUCCUCGAUAGUUUCUUUUGACUUACAAGCUUGGUUUUUAGUCACAUCCCUUUUCAUUACCAACUUCUGUGCUUAUCUGUUUUAACCAGAUAGUAGGAAUGGUAUAUGUUUUUGGGUUUUGGCCAUAUAUGCCUUCACCUCAUGCCUAACCUCACUGCUCUUCUCCCCUUGCACACAAACUUCAACCUGCUCCUCCAUGUACUUGGGCAUUCUGAGACCUUACAAUCUUCGGGAGAACUUACAAUCUCAAACAACUAUGCGAAUAAGUAAAUGCAUAUUAUGAACGCUCAUAUCAAAAUCGAGAAAUUUACACUAGGAAUAUCAAUUACAUCUGUUUUUUCUUGUUAUCAAAUCAACAAUGGAUAAAGAUGCACGUCUGAAAGAUGCAGAGCCACGAAGAAGAUACAAAGAGACAAUGAAAAGUUAUAAAUUUAUUAUCCACAAGAGUGUUAUACAACUUCACAAUCAAAUGCGGGAUAUUCUUCUGGGCCACGGAAGGUCUCUAUGCGUUUUAUUGAUUGCAAUUAGUCCCCUUAGACUAAUCCGCGCCGAGAGAUCUUGUCAGAACGCUUCCUCGCCUCUGGCCACCAAGAAUAAAUUGGGAUUUAACUCUAAUUAGCUUCAGCUGGAAUUUGAAUGUUUCCACACCUAGGCUCUUAUCAACUCGGCCUCCUGUGGUGAUUAAUCAAUUCAAGAUAUAUAUAUAAGUAUAUAAGACGGAAAUGCAAUGCAUAUCCAAAGUCUCAAAUUCUUGUUAACAAGACAUCCUUCAAUCUAUUUGGAAAAGGAAACAAAUUAGCUGGGAGCAGAAAUCUAUAAGUAAAGGUAAACUAUAAUGCAACAGCAAAGGAAAUAACUUAAAAUACAAUAUAAAUUGCUUAAUAUACAGUGUGGUGCAAAUCAGAAGAACCCUGUGCUCAAAUUUUCUUCAAACUGUAUCUAACUUUUUUUUCAUUUAAUUUGUAGUUUGUUAAGGAGAGAUAUUAAACGCAUUUUGUGCUCAAAACAUUUAACAUUUUGUAUUUGUUUACUGUUUAUUGGGUGAGCAAUCGGACUACCACAUUAAUUCAUACGAAAAAUCACGUAAAGUAUUUGACACACUAACAUACCAUAUGAAUUGGACUUGUUUCCUGCUGUGGAAGUCAGAUGAAGAGGCUGAAAACUUGGGGCAGCUACUCACAAAGAACUCUUCCAAUUCAGGACACACAAUAUCAAAAGUAUCACUUUCAUAGUACAACAUUGGAAGUACCUCCAAAUGUAAUCGCUUCAAUUUUGGAAGGACGGUCUUCUUGUUGCUUGCUUCAACUAUCCUUUCCAACAGAGGGCAAUUCUUGAAUUUUAAGGAAUUCAGUUGGGAAAGACACUGAGCAACAUCAUAGGUGAAGAGACUUCCAUCUGACUUGCACCACUCUAUGGACAAACUUUGAAGAUUCUGGAACAUUGCAGGUGGGAGUCGAGAAGGUCCAUCACAUAUGCUAACUGUGGACAAUGCUAUCUUUCUCAGUCUCCAUUGUUCCCAUGGAAACCAACAACCCUUCAGAGACAUGUUCUCCAAUGAAGGACACUCAAUAUCAAAAGUAGCACUUUUGUAUAACAUUGGAAGUUCCGUCAAACUUAAUUGCUCCAACUUUGGAAGGAUUAUCUUCUUGUUGCUUGCUUCAACUAUCCUUUCCAACAAGGGGCAUACUGCUAAUUCUAAGGAAUUCAACUGAAAAAGACACUGAGCAACAUCAGAGGUGAAGAGACUUCCCUCCAACUUGCAUUUGGUAAUGGACAAACUUUGAAGAUUCUGGAGCAUCGCAGGCGGAGCAGGUCCCUCACAUAUGCUUACUGUUGCUAGAGCAAACAAUUCUAUCUUUUUCAACUUUAAUUGUUGCAACACAAGCAAGGCUUCAUACCCAAACAUAUAUUCACUCCCGUCCGUCUGACAAACAAUUAAUACUUCCAAAUUUGGUAGUCUAUGUAACAAUGUUGACGGUAAAAGUAUAUUCCACCAGUUGUAACAAUAUUCUACCUUCAAUACCUUCAACUUGAAUAGAGACCCACAUGGUAGAAAUUGAACGGCACGUAACUCUGCACAAUCCAGUCCCUCCAUAUACAACUCUUCCAAAUUCUCGAACACAGGCUUUCUUGGAACCCAUGUUAUUGCAGGAUCCACCUCCGUGAUGUCUCGACUGCUGUAACCCACUAUAUGCAGAUGCUUCAGUCUCUGUAGCCUCCCAUGCUCAGAUUCCACAAAUAUGUCGAUUAACCUGUGGCACCAAGAGUCGGAAAAUGUCUCUGCUUUCUUCAUUAUCUCGUCACGAAACCACUCCGGUAAGUGACUGAUCAUGACAUCCAAGAGUAUUGAGAUAUGACGAUGUCGAUCAUAUAACUUCGUCUUGUAUGGCUCGUAUAAACCACCGAUACAUAUAUCAAACUCAACCAAAUUCAUUUUCUGCUCAACAUAUUUAGGGAUAUGUUCAACACCCCUGAUAGUAACCUUCAAAACUCUUAAUUUUGACAAGCUAGUUACCUCGUCAAAGCUAGCAUUAGUAAAGGUAUCAUUGACUUCUCCUUCUUCUCCCUCAGCGUUAAGCUCCAAGCACUCCCACUCCCAAAAUCCUUGCAUAGUUACCUCGUCAAAGCUAGCAUUAGUAAAGGUAUCAUUAACUUCUCCUUCUUCUCCCUCAGCGUUAGGCUCCAAGCGCUCCCACUCCCAAAAUCCUUGCAUAUACAGUUCUUCUAAAUUAUGCAACUUUGAUAACAGUUUGGAGGGAAUUCUAGAAAUAUGUUCACCAGUAAUAUCCAACAUCCUCAGAUUGGUCAAACCUCCUAUUUCUACCGACAACUCAUACAGACGUGAAUUUCUCAUACUCAGCAUCUCAAGCUUUUUAAGUUUUCCCAGUAUGGAAGUGUCAAUGCUUAGAUGGUCACAAUUAUCUAAAUACAAAGCUGUGAGGUUGGUUAGGAGACCUAAUGAUUUGGGCAGUAAUGAAAGGCUAGUAGUCCAGCUAAGAUCUAAUACCCUUAAUUCAUUUGGACAUUGGAAGAAUGUUUCUGGUAUAUGUUCUAAAAAGAUAUUAUGGUUUAGUAACAAAAUCUGGAGUUUUGGACAUACCAGAUUUUUGGGAAGCUCCCUGAUAUAAUUCCUCAUUAGUGAGAUUGCAAGGUAGCCUUUAUGUAAAUUACGUGGCCAAUCCUCUAAACGACAGCCGGCUUUCACAAAAAACUCAUCUUCAGAUAGCACAAUUUGAAUGGCUGCAUCCCGGACAACUUCAUGCAUCCUUACAAAUCCAUCUGUUUUACUAUCCAAA